GUGCCAGCAGCCGCGGUAAUUCCAGCUCCAAUAGCGUAUACUAAAGUUGUUGCGAUUAAAAAGCUCGUAGUUGGAUCUCAGGCAUGGGCGCACGGUCCGCCUCGCGGCGGUCACUGUGUGUUUUGUUUCCCAUCCUACGCUUCCCGGUUGUUCAGCCCAUGGUGCUCUUCAUUGAGCGUUUUGGGUGGCCGGAACGUUUACUUUGAAGAAAUUAGAGUGUUCAAAGCAGGCACGUUGCCUGAAUAAUGGUGCAUGGAAUAAUGGAAUAGGACCUCGGUUCUAUUUUGCUGGUUUUCGGAACACGAGGUAAUGAUUAAGAGGGACAGACGGGGGCAUCCGUAUUGCGGUGUUAGAGGUGAAUUCUUGGAUCAUCGCAAGACGAACAACUGCGAAAGCAUUUUG
This 402-nucleotide ribosomal RNA is filed under the name Buccinum undatum (waved whelk). RNAcentral describes it as "SSU rRNA". It matches the Rfam family "Eukaryotic small subunit ribosomal RNA", at positions 564 to 957 of the family's 1831-position model. Lineage: Eukaryota; Metazoa; Mollusca; Gastropoda; Neogastropoda; Buccinidae. The record is from RNAcentral.